Non-coding RNA from Heligmosomoides polygyrus, 75 nucleotides. Lineage: Eukaryota; Metazoa; Nematoda; Chromadorea; Rhabditida; Heligmosomidae. The record is from Rfam.
GCGCUAGUGGUGUAAUGGCGUAUAGCAUUCCCAAACGGUCAGAGGGAGGUGCGGGUUCGAGUCCCGCCUGGCGCU